GUGAGACGAUAAAUUCCUGCUGCUUUCAGCCGGAGGCUCAUGCCCACUACAGGCACAUACCUGCCGUCAAGACCAUGGAAGGUUUGGGGCUCCAGGCAUAGAUGUGAAUGGCUCUCAGACAUCUGCAGGUCACCCUCCCAGACCCCUCCGUGGCCGCACAGCAGGGCGCGCGGGCGGCAGGAGCCGCGUCAGGACCGGACUCCGGGAGGGGAGACCACCCCCAGCGGCGCCUGCACUGCAAACCACGCCCCUGCGUGACCCUUCAAACACGUGUUUUCAUGGUCUUUUCACUAGAACGCUUCACGUCCACAGACCCCGAGAUGCAUCACUUCCAUCUGUGAAACCCACGGGGGAAGGAGUGGAAUCAGACAGACAUGACUCACCUGACGGGGAGAAUAAGGCGCGUCUAGCAACAUGACUUGGAAAUACCUGAACUCUAGAACAACAAAGGUGAGGAGGCUGGAUCCUACCUCUAAAGGGAAGGAUGUUAACAAAAUCCCAACAAAGAUGCAGAAAGAGGGAGGAAACCAUCGCUGGCCUCCGUUCCUUGUUCCUCGAGGCAGAGGGGUGUCCUCGGAGCCCAGGCCAGCCUUGGCCUCGCUCGGGGCCUGGAUGAAGGAAGAACCGUGUCUACAUUUCCCUGUACACCUUUCUCGUCGAUCUCAUCUCUCAUUUCAUCUUCAAGGCGCAGCUCACAAUCCCCAUUUGUCGUCGGACCCCCAUCCCCACGCCUGUCUGUGGCGUUACUGUCGUUUC
This is a long non-coding RNA of Hyaena hyaena (striped hyena), 756 nucleotides long. RefSeq lists it as uncharacterized. The transcript is spliced from 3 exons. The record is from RefSeq and is a predicted model, not a curated record. Lineage: Eukaryota; Metazoa; Chordata; Mammalia; Carnivora; Hyaenidae.